UACAGAGGGUGCGAGCGUUAAUCGGAAUUACUGGGCGUAAAGGGCGCGUAGGCGGUGAGACACGUGUGAUGUGAAAGCCCCGGGCUUAACCUGGGAAGGGCAUCGCAAACGAUCUGACUGGAGUAGAAGAGAGGGUGGCGGAAUUUCCGGUGUAGCGGUGAAAUGCGUAGAGAUCGGAAGGAACGUCAAUGGCGAAGGCAGCCACCUGGCUUCAUACUGACGCUGAAGCGCGAAAGCGUGGGGAGCGAACAGG
RNAcentral lists this ribosomal RNA (253 nucleotides) under uncultured bacterium. Its description in RNAcentral is "partial 16S ribosomal RNA". It matches the Rfam family "Bacterial small subunit ribosomal RNA", at positions 524 to 776 of the family's 1533-position model. The record is from RNAcentral.